UUUCAUACAACCCUCAUCAAAUCUAGAGAGAGAAAGAGACACAUCUCCAUCGUUUCUCUCUUGCUUGUCUAUCUACCUUGUCCUCUAAUUGAUUUGGUUUUGUUUUCAGGGAGAUUUAAUUUGCUGAAAGAUCAAGACCAUGACCACGACCAGUUACGCCCCUGAUGACGUUGAUGGUGAGUUAUGUAUCAGAGAUUCAGAGCAAGCCCUAGCCCUAGAUUUCAAUAAUGUCAUCUAAGCAAGAGGUGAGCUAGCUAAGCUCAAUACAGAAGGUUGGACAAUUUCAGAAGCUGCGACUAAACCAGCUGCAAUGGAAUCUCAGCUUUGAUUAUGUUGAUUAUGAUCAUGAUGGUUUCCGUAUAACUGAUUUAGAAUUUUUUUUAUAUAUAAUCAGGUCUACCACAAACGUGACAUGAUAUGAAUAUUUAAAUGUGUAAUACCCUUGCUAAAAUUUUAAAUUAACAGAUUGUUGAGCUUCAUGGUGACCUGGCGGGUUAUGAAGAUGCUACAAUAGUGACCAGAAUUGGAACAAUAGAUGGCGGGCGAAACAACUCAUGAUCCGGUUAGAAACAACUAUGUGUGUUACAAACAACUCUUUUUCUGUAAUAGUGAGGGGUUGUUUGACAACUUCUGAAUGGUUAAGUGCUGAGCCAAUAAGAGGUCUGAACCAUUAAGUGCUGAAUCAGUAAGAUGUCUGAACCAUUAAGAGCCAGUAUAAUGCUCAACUGUUUAGAGGCAAAUGUCUGACCAAUUCAGAUUUGAGGUCUUAAUCAUUCAGACUUAGUAUAAUGCUUAACCAUUCAGAGGCAAAUGUCUGAACCAUUCAGACAUCUACUCUCGAAACAAAUAGUCUGAACCAUUAAGUUCUGAACCAGUAAGAUGUCUGAACCAUUAAGAGUCUCAUUUAAAAGGUAAACAAACGGCCCUGAGUUACAUAUUUAAGGUAUACAAAGAGGAAGAUGAUAAGCUACUAUGUGUGUUAGAAACAACUCUUUUUCUAUAAUAACAAAUUUUGGAUUGCUCUUCACUUUUAUAAUAGAGACAAUCUGCAAUUCUAAUAAUGGUCUUGGUGUAAUUUGAAAGCUUGGAUUCAUCGUCUGGUUAUCUCUAAUUUUCAUCUUGGCAUAAGGGAUCAAGGGGUAGGCUCAAUUGGGUACCCCUACCCGAUUUGAUUGGAAAUUUUGGUUUAAUAAUAUUGGAAAAAGCUUGGCUAGAAAAGUAUCUUUUUAAGUUGGCCAACUAAAAUUUCAGAGCAAACUUUUAAAAAGUCAAUGACAGUUAACCGGCGAGGGUUAGUGGGGUUAACAAGUGUGCUUACAAGCGUGAUAAAUUUGAGAGGGGUUGCUAUUGCUUAUUAUUUUGGGUAGGGUUGUAAACGAACCGAACGUUCAGCGAACAGUUCGUGAACCGUUCGGUGGGAAGUUCGUUUAUGUUCGUUCGUUUAAUAAACGAACGAACAUGAACAAGAAAUUCUGUUCGAUUAGUUAAAUGAACGAACAUGAACAGAGGUCUUGUUCGUUCGAUUGUGUUCGUGAACGUUCGGUAAGGUGUUCGUGAACGUGUUUGUGAACAUGUUCAUGAACAUUCGUUGAUUUGAGUUCGUUUAUGUUUGUAUAUUUGUGUUUUAAUUGAAGAUCUUUGUACUUUGUUAUAUUUUAUUUGUACUUUGUAUAUUAUUAAACUUUUAUUUAUUUUAUUAACCUAACAAUUAAACUAGGAAACCCACUUUCACCUUGUUUAUGUAUCACUAGGUUAUCACCCGGGUGCUACCCGGGUCGGAGAAAACUAUUAAGAUAAAUAUCAAAUGUAUAAAUAAAAUAAAAUACAAAGUCCCAUGUUACAUAAAUUAGUGAUAAAGUGAUAUACAAUUUAAAGACAGUCGAGUACUCGAGUCCCUUUGAAGAUGCAUAUCCUUCGAGUUACAAAAUUGAGUUCCCUCUACAAAAAAAAACCAACCAAAUUAUAAGUGUUUAAAUAUAUAAUAUAAACUUUAGUGUCGAUACUAUAUAAUAUAAACUUUGGUGUCGAUACUAAGCUUGUUGAGAUAUUGGGACAAAAACGCACCAAGUUACUUAGGUAUAUAUAAUUCUUAAUACAAUCACACUAUUUCAAUCAUAAAAUCAACUAAACUUUAUAUAAUUGUUUCACAUCAAUCUUAAAUGAAUCAAAUACUCUAAUUGACAAUAUGGUUUGAAACCUGUACAAUCAUAUCUUGAUAACUUGAUGUAUUUCGAUGAUCAACCUCCAACUUCAACAACUUCCCUUUGAUAUGUUGCUUCAAAUCCAUAAUUGAUUACCAGUUGGACCCAUUCCAAAUUAUCUGACCAAACUAAGUCUAUGGUAAAUGUGUGCUUGUAAAGUGAAAAAACACAUCCAUUAUUCAAAAAUACUUUCAAGCCAUUCAAUAGCUUUAAACCUUGUCAU
This 2424-nucleotide long non-coding RNA is filed under the name Helianthus annuus (common sunflower). Its description in RNAcentral is "hypothetical non coding rna". The record is from RNAcentral. Lineage: Eukaryota; Viridiplantae; Streptophyta; Magnoliopsida; Asterales; Asteraceae.